Molecule: ribosomal RNA, 253 nt
Filed under: uncultured bacterium
Lineage: Bacteria
Description: partial 16S ribosomal RNA
Rfam family: Bacterial small subunit ribosomal RNA
Source: RNAcentral
UACGAAGGGGGCUAGCGUUGUUCGGAAUUACUGGGCGUAAAGCGCACGUAGGCGGAUACUUAAGUCAGGGGUGAAAUCCCGGGGCUCAACCCCGGAACUGCCUUUGAUACUGGGUAUCUCGAGUCCGGAAGAGGUGAGUGGAAUUCCGAGUGUAGAGGUGAAAUUCGUAGAUAUUCGGAGGAACACCAGUGGCGAAGGCGGCGACCUGGUUCGAUACUGACACUGAGGUGCGAAAGCGUGGGGAGCAAACAGG